CGUGAGACAGUUCGGUCCCUAUCCGUCGUGGGCGUAGGAAAUUUGAGAGGAGCUGUCCUUAGUACGAGAGGACCGGGAUGGACAUACCUCUGGUGUACCAGUUGUCGUGCCAACGGCAUAGCUGGGUAGCUAUGUGUGGACGGGAUAAGUGCUGAAAGCAUCUAAGCAUGAAGCCCCCUCAAGAUGAGAUUUCCCAACUUCGGUUAUAAGAUCCCUCAAAGAUGAUGAGGUUAAUAGGUUCGAGGUGGAAGCAUGGUGACAUGUGGAGCUGACGAAUACUAAUCGAUCGAAGACUUAAUCAAAA
RNAcentral lists this ribosomal RNA (304 nucleotides) under Staphylococcus aureus. RNAcentral's name for it is "partial 23S ribosomal RNA". It matches the Rfam family "Bacterial large subunit ribosomal RNA", at positions 2620 to 2925 of the family's 2925-position model. The record is from RNAcentral. Lineage: Bacteria; Bacillati; Bacillota; Bacilli; Caryophanales; Staphylococcaceae.